GACGAAGGAUGCAAGCGUUAUCCGGAUUCAUUGGGUUUAAAGGGAGCGUAGGUGGACUGAUAAGUCAGAGGUGAAAUCUUUGGGCUUAACCCAAAAAUUGCCAUUGAUACUGUUGGUCUUGAGUAUAGUUGCCGUUGGCGGAAUAUGACAUGUAGUGGUGAAAUACAUAGAGAUGUCAUAGAACACCGAUUGCGAAGGCAGCUGACGAAACUAUAACUGACACUGAGGCUCGAAAGUGUGGGGAUCAAACAGG
RNAcentral lists this ribosomal RNA (253 nucleotides) under uncultured bacterium. Its description in RNAcentral is "partial 16S ribosomal RNA". It matches the Rfam family "Bacterial small subunit ribosomal RNA", at positions 524 to 776 of the family's 1533-position model. The record is from RNAcentral.